AACGAACGCUGGCGGCAUGCCUAAUACAUGCAAGUCGAACGAGAAAGUUCUUCGGAACGAGUAGAGUGGCGCACGGGUGAGUAACACGUAGGUGACCUACCCUUUAGUGGGGGACAACCAGGGGAAACUCUGGCUAAUACCGCAUAAUCUUAAAAACCUUGGAUAGUUUUAAGGAAAGAUUUAUCGCUGAAGGAAGGGCCUGCGGGGCAUUAGCUUGAUGGUGGGGUAACGGCCUACCAUGGCAAUGAUGUCUAGCCGGUCUGAGAGGAUGAUCGGCCACACUGGAACUGAGACACGGUCCAG
Molecule: ribosomal RNA, 303 nt
Filed under: uncultured bacterium
Lineage: Bacteria
Description: bacterial SSU rRNA
Rfam family: Bacterial small subunit ribosomal RNA
Source: RNAcentral